UUGACCUCGGAUCGUA
RNAcentral lists this ribosomal RNA (16 nucleotides) under Phialocephala fortinii. RNAcentral's name for it is "partial 28S ribosomal RNA". Lineage: Eukaryota; Fungi; Ascomycota; Leotiomycetes; Helotiales; Mollisiaceae. The record is from RNAcentral.